This 253-nucleotide ribosomal RNA is filed under the name uncultured bacterium. RNAcentral's name for it is "partial 16S ribosomal RNA". It matches the Rfam family "Bacterial small subunit ribosomal RNA", at positions 524 to 776 of the family's 1533-position model. The record is from RNAcentral.
UACGGAGGGUGCAAGCGUUAUCCGGAUUUACUGGGUUUAAAGGGUGUGUAGGCGGGCUUUUAAGUCAGUGGUGAAAUCUCCGGGCUCAACCCGGAAACUGCCAUUGAUACUAUUAGUCUUGAAUGUUGUUGAGGUAGGCGGAAUAAGUCAUGUAGCGGUGAAAUGCAUAGAUAUGACUUAGAACACCAAUUGCGAAGGCAGCUUACUAAACAAUGAUUGACGCUGAGGCACGAAAGCGUGGGGAUCAAACAGG